This 510-nucleotide ribosomal RNA is filed under the name uncultured Glomus. Its description in RNAcentral is "SSU rRNA". It matches the Rfam family "Eukaryotic small subunit ribosomal RNA", at positions 569 to 1081 of the family's 1831-position model. The record is from RNAcentral. Lineage: Eukaryota; Fungi; Glomeromycota; Glomeromycetes; Glomerales; Glomeraceae.
AGCAGCCGCGGUAAUUCCAGCUCCAAUAGCGUAUAUUAAAGUUGUUGCAGUUAAAAAGCUCGUAGUUGAAUUUCGGGGUUAGUAGGUUGGUCAUGCCUCUGGUAUGUACUGGUCUCACUGAUUCCUCCUUCCUGAUGAGCCGUAAUGCCAUUAAUUUGGUGUUGCGGGGAAUUUGGACUGUUACUUUGAAAAAUUAGAGUGUUUAAAGCAAGCUAACGCUUGAAUACAUUAGCAUGGAAUAAUGAAAUAGGACGUUCGAUCCUAUUUUGUUGGUUUCUAGGAUUGACGUAAUGAUUAAUAGGGAUAGUUGGGGGCAUUAGUAUUCAAUUGUCAGAGGUGAAAUUCUUGGAUUUAUUGAAGACUAACUACUGCGAAAGCAUUUGCCAAGGAUGUUUUCAUUAAUCAAGAACGAAAGUUAGGGGAUCGAAGACGAUCAGAUACCGUCGUAGUCUUAACCAUAAACUAUGCCGACUAGGGAUCGGAUGAUGUUAAUUUUUAAUGUACUCAUUC